AGGUGAGCGCCAAUACGCGCACGUACGCGGAAAGGGGAACCGCCCAUGCGCACAUAAAGGUCCUCACUCUCGCAUACGGGCUCGGCCGGCUGCUGAGAGGCAGCGCCGGCAUCCGCGUUGCGGCAAGCCUCCUGCUGUGCUGAUUGCCGGCGCGCCUGGAGCGCUGGCGGCGGCGGCGGCGUACAUUUGAUGGUGCCGCCCCCCUCCCCCUUCCUCCCUCCCCUUCCCGGGCAGCGCCGUCACCGGGCCUACGGCACGGCGCGGUUGCCGAGGUGAUGGGCAAUGCGACCUGGCCGCUGGUGGUGGGCACUGACGGAGGGGAGCUCUGUGUGGCACCUGAGCGCAUUGUGUUGCGGGGGCCGCCGAGGAAGCUGCACCACACCGCGAGGCUGCUGGAGCGUGCGAGCUGGCUGCGCUGCUGCGCGCACGGCCCGCGCGCCGUGGAGGCCGUGGCGCUUAUCCCGAUUAGCCGGUGCUGGCGCGGGGGUGGGCGUGAACCACGGACCGCCACCGAGACCCCUCCAAGGCCGCCCGGUGGUGUGAGGGCGUGUGUGUGUGCUCGCGACGGCCGCCCUCGCCGGUGGCUGUGGCGGGUGCAAGAGUGCGCUGUGCCGCAGCGCGGUGCGCGUGGAGGGCGGGCCGCUCGCGCACGUCGGCGUCCGCGGCGCGGAGGGCAGGCUGCGCUGCGUCGUCGAGGCGCUCUGCGUGAAGCGGGGGCGCGAGGUGUGCGGCGACGCUGUGGCGCUGGCGUGUGCGACCGUCGUCUGUGCCAUCUCACCGUGGAGGGGUGCCCAUCGCGUCGCUCAGCAUGGCCGCCGCUGGGGUGCGGCGCCUCGGCCUGCGCAUGAUUGCCGUGCGCCGCCGCGAGCGGGCGUUCGCGUAGACGCAGCACGCCGUGGACGAGUUGUUUGCCGCGGUGCAUGAAUGCCGCGUCUCGGCGGGAAGGCGCACGGAUGAGAAGCUGCUGAGGUCGGUGCGGCGCUGGGGGCGCACUGCGUUGCACGAUCCCGCACAGGACGUGUGCGUGUUUCACCACAAGCUUUUCCACUCCGCCUCCCGGUGCUGCUGGCCGCAGGCGCGCGGUGAGAUGAGGAGGUGACGGGGAAGGGCGGGUGGUGGCUCUGCGCGAGCGCGUGGGUGUCGGGUGGAUGGGAGUGUGCACUGAUGUAGGUGCACCCUCGCGUGCUGCGACUGGCACCGCCGCCCUCCUCGCCCCAUGGGGCGCACACGGGGUCGCUGCUGCUCGCAUCCCCUGCUCUUUGGUGAUGUUCCUUUUUUUUCUUGUGGUGCAGGGCCGCGGCGGUGCGGGGAUGGGCGGUGCUGCAUCCCGCCCGCACAGACACCGAGGCCGCCCCCCGCACCUCCCCCCCUGCACACACGUGUCCAUCGGCCUCGCGCAAGCGCUCCUAGGACAACGCCGACCAGAG
Molecule: unclassified non-coding RNA, 1427 nt
Filed under: Leishmania donovani
Lineage: Eukaryota; Euglenozoa; Kinetoplastea; Trypanosomatida; Trypanosomatidae
Description: gene:unknown
Source: RNAcentral